UUAGCUAAAGCCAAAAAGAGGCAUUUUAUUGUUAAUAAAAAAAAUGGAUAUUCAUCCUAGCUAAA
This 65-nucleotide transfer RNA is filed under the name Lasiolabops cosmopolites. Its description in RNAcentral is "tRNA-Asn". The record is from RNAcentral. Lineage: Eukaryota; Metazoa; Arthropoda; Insecta; Hemiptera; Miridae.